Cyprinus carpio (common carp) is the source of this 873-nucleotide long non-coding RNA. RefSeq lists it as uncharacterized. NCBI's taxonomy places the organism in Eukaryota, Metazoa, Chordata, Actinopteri, Cypriniformes, Cyprinidae. The transcript has 3 exons. The record is from RefSeq and is a predicted model, not a curated record.
UCGCACACGACCAUUUUCUCCGAGCUUUUCGUGUUUAAAUUUACUUUUGACUUUCGUUAUAGUAGCAAACGCAUUUUCGUCGACCACCAUAUUUUAUUAAAUUAAAUCGUAAUUCAAUAUCUGCAUGAGAGCAACAGAUUUGAAUGUCACGUGCAAAUAUAUUUUGUCUAGGCUAUAUAAAUCAGCUGACACUUGCAUCUACCUUAAUCUUUUUGGUUGUUCUAAUUCUAAUACGUCAGUCAAGAAGAGGACAUGUGAUGAGAUGUAAUUUGACAUUGUUAGAUUUGUAAAAGAUAGACCGCUAUAGGACAGGAUCGUCUGAGACAGGCUGUCAUUGUGUCUCAUAUGUUUAUGCUGAUAUGGCUGGCGGGACGAGCUUUGUUCUUGCCAUUUUCAUACAGCUUUGAUUCUACCACAUCUUCCACGGACUGUGAUUCACUUUCUCCAGACCUUUGCCAUGGUCAGCGAGGGGACAUGAGAUCGAUCUUGGCAUGCUGGUGCAGUCUGACGUGGGCCCUUCCUCUCACCCUCAUCACCCUCUCUAUCCCCCACCGAGGCUGGAGAAGAAAGCCCUGCUGGGAAUACAAUCAACACAUUCUACCUUAGAUCUUAGCCAAUUCAACUGACUCCAUAAUCCAUGACUUUUUUGUUGUUGUAGUAGAAUCAAGUAACUGCAAUUUUUAAGAAUUUACUGCAGUUCCCAUUCAACAGAUGCAUAGAGUGCUGUGUUGAUUACAUGCUUUUGUAUGCCUGUAAAUUAGCAUCACCCUGGUUCCCUCGACAAAAACCCAAUAGGAUGUUUAUACUGUAUGGCAUUUGGAUCUUUACAAAAAGUAAUGUAAUUUUAAUAAGUUUUUUUUUUUUUCUUUUUUG